CACGUCGCCCGCCCUAGUCUGCUUUUGUGAAUCUCCACUUUGUUCAACCCCCACCCGCCGUCUCUCCCUCCCUGCGCCUUCCCUCUAACCUUAAAGACCCAGCUACCUCUACGCAAAUGGUAGCUACCUCUGCGCAGGUGGAAGUUGAGUUCGGUUCACGCGGGACCCUCUUCCCUGUGGCAAGCUGCUGAAGGAGACCUGCUGUUACUGCUUUAGCUGCUGUUCUGCUUAAUCUCAGACAGCUGGAAGGUAGUAUUCCGCCCUCGCCCAGCCACCCGAGUAAAUGAGAAUGAUGACUGACUGAGACCCUGAUGGUGGUGGCUUAGGCUUAAUCUCAGACAGCUGGAAGGUAGUAUUCCGCCCUCACCCAGCCACCCGAGUAAAUGAGAAUGAUGACUGACUGAGACCCUGAUGGUGGUGGCUUAGGCAAGAUGAACGUCUGAAAUGGAGGCCCAGGGCUGCCACGAUGGCUCUGUAGUCAUCAGGGAGGGAGCUCCUUUUAUCUUGUUACCUACUCCCCUCUUGUGCCCCUUUCUUCCCUUGAUCUAAGAAGGUUGCUCCGGAUCUCGCCAUCUGGCCUGCGUUCAAUCAGCAGAAGCUUCCUGGAGGAGCAGGAGGAGGCACUGUGCUCGCAUCACAUACCAGUGGCCAGAAGUUGGCUUCAGGGAAGCUCAGGAAAUAGGAUGCGAGAAGCCAUGAGACCUCCCCAAACUCUGCAGUAACAGAGUCAACAAGACAAUGGCUUAAAGAUGGAGAGACCAGUUGAUCGGUCACACAAGCUGUUCCACGAUAAUUCUUGUGUCAGAAGGGGAGGCUGACUACCAGGACCACUGGCCCCACUUCCAGCCCCUCCAUUCUGAGUACACUUCAGAGGGCUCUGGCAGGGUGAGGGGGUCUUGGUGGUGCCACAGAGAGUAAAGGUCUAGCACACCCAUUGUGGAGAUAUUUCAUGGGGACAACCCAGUGACUUCACUUGAAGUAAAGUGGGAUUUUCCAACCUUGAGAUUCUUAUUUUCUUUGGUAUGCGUGUGGAAGAAGUAUGAAGCACGUGCCCAGCUUCCUUUCAAGUCUCUGGCCAAUGCAAUGUGAGCAGAAGUGAAGGGGCAACUUUCAGGUGAUGACUUGGAAAAGAAAGCUUAGUCCUCUGCUUCUCCUGUCACCCGAAAGAGAAACAGAGGCUUGUCUUGUUGAAGCCAGUGUGUUUGGUGUCUUUUUGUAUAGUGGCUUAGACAGUGGCCUAACUAGAAGACCAAGGCUCAAAGGAACACAUUUUGAGCUUCUCCACAGUUUGAGAACCUCUACAUUACCUACACCAAGCCUUCCCCAGCACUCAAUUUAUGGAAGACCAUUUCUCUUCUCAUGACACAUGUCCUCAUGUUGCUUUGGCCUGUUUUAAAGCUUUCUCAACUCCAUCUCAAUAAAGAAAUCUGCAGCUUUGUUGGAUGAGAGGAUCUAAAAAGUUCGUUCUUCCAAUCGGUUGUAAAUAUAGACACUAAUUUAUAAACUGACACAGGAACACACAGCAAAUUAGUAGAAAAUCCGAUUCCUGUUCCCUUUUCUCCUUGCAUUGUUUCCUGCCAAUGCUCAC
This 1588-nucleotide long non-coding RNA is filed under the name Homo sapiens (human). Its description in RNAcentral is "HSALNT0331441". Lineage: Eukaryota; Metazoa; Chordata; Mammalia; Primates; Hominidae. The record is from RNAcentral.